UACAGAGGGUGCGAGCGUUAAUCGGAAUUACUGGGCGUAAAGCGUGCGUAGACGGUUAUGUAAGUCGGAUGUGAAAGCCCCGGGCCUAACCUGGGAACUGCAUUCGAGACUGCAUAGCUAGGAUGCGGAAGAGGGAAGUGGAAUUUCCGGUGUAGCGGUGAAAUGCGUAGAUAUCGGAAGGAACAUCAGUGGCGAAAGCGGCUUCCUGGUCCAGCAUCGACGUUCAGGCACGAAAGCGUGGGGAGCAAACGGG
RNAcentral lists this ribosomal RNA (253 nucleotides) under uncultured bacterium. Its description in RNAcentral is "partial 16S ribosomal RNA". It matches the Rfam family "Bacterial small subunit ribosomal RNA", at positions 524 to 776 of the family's 1533-position model. The record is from RNAcentral.